RNAcentral lists this ribosomal RNA (253 nucleotides) under uncultured bacterium. RNAcentral describes it as "partial 16S ribosomal RNA". It matches the Rfam family "Bacterial small subunit ribosomal RNA", at positions 524 to 776 of the family's 1533-position model. The record is from RNAcentral.
UACGUAGGGACCAAGCGUUGUUCGGAUUCAUUGGGCGUAAAGGGUGCGUAGGCGGUCGCGCAAGUCGGAUGUGAAAUCUCAGGGCUCAACCCUGAAACUGCAUUCGAUACUGCGUGGCUCGAGUGCUGGAGAGGAGACUGGAAUUUACGGUGUAGCAGUGAAAUGCGUAGAUAUCGUAAGGAAGACCAGUGGCGAAGGCGAGUCUCUGGACAGCAACUGACGCUGAGGCACGAAGGCCAGGGGAGCAAACGGG